RNAcentral lists this non-coding RNA (30 nucleotides) under Rattus norvegicus (Norway rat). The record is from RNAcentral. Lineage: Eukaryota; Metazoa; Chordata; Mammalia; Rodentia; Muridae.
UAAAAAUCCAUUAAUAUAAUUUCUGUUAUA